GCUACUACCGAUUGAAUGGUUUAGUGAGGACUCCUGAUUAGCGCCGCCGCCCCGGCAACGGAGCAGCGGACUGCCGAAAAGUUGUUCAAACUUGAUCAUUUAGAGGAAGUAAAAGUCGUAACAAGGUUUCCGUAGGUGAACCUGCAGAAGGAGAUCGGAGGAGUGCUGUGUUGGGAAAGAGUGUAGAUCUCCGUGGCCGCCGUAACAUUAAAAAAAAAAGCGUGUAGUCGUCCCACGCGACUCGCUUUUGAUUCUCUGCUUCGGCUCUUUUUCAUUU
RNAcentral lists this unclassified non-coding RNA (277 nucleotides) under sea anemone metagenome. Its description in RNAcentral is "partial contains small subunit ribosomal RNA and internal transcribed spacer 1". The stretch from base 1 to 158 matches the Rfam family "Eukaryotic small subunit ribosomal RNA", at positions 1678 to 1831 of the family's 1831-position model. The record is from RNAcentral.